AACUCUGGUCUUCCCUCAAAGGUAUAAAUCUUUCGCCUUUACUAAAGAUUCAUGUGGGGUGAGGGACAAAUGAAAGAGUGGACAUGAAUUUUUUAGGGCCUCUUUAUGGGGUCC
Gigantopelta aegis is the source of this 114-nucleotide small nuclear RNA. RefSeq annotates it as U5 spliceosomal RNA. The record is from RefSeq and is a predicted model, not a curated record. The transcript has a single exon. Lineage: Eukaryota; Metazoa; Mollusca; Gastropoda; Neomphalida; Peltospiridae.